RNAcentral lists this unclassified non-coding RNA (568 nucleotides) under Hevea brasiliensis (rubber tree). Lineage: Eukaryota; Viridiplantae; Streptophyta; Magnoliopsida; Malpighiales; Euphorbiaceae. The record is from RNAcentral.
UGCUUUUUAAAGGUGGCGAAUUCAAGAAAAUCAAGUGAAUUUGUUAGAUUUACAGAUACAGAUGAUACACAAACCACCGCCGUGACUGCGAUCGGCGGCGGUGUUGAAGGCGGUGGUCAGUUUGAUUAUUCGAUGUAUUCAGGGUAUUGUGAUUCUCAGGCGAGAGAUAUGUCGGAGAUGGUGACGGAGUUUACACGUGUGGUAUCGGGUCAGGAUUAUCGACCCGAUACCAGAUGUUAUUCGGUUAAUUCACCGUCUCCGGCUUAUUCUUCGUCCAGCUCGGGUUCUAGAGCUGGACUGAAGAGAAGCCGUGAUCAACAAGAAUUUGGAACUGGGUUGUCAUCUUCUUCCUCUGUUAAAAUUGAAGCUACAAGUAUGGUUGCACCAAUUCCCGCUUUCACAACCACAAUCACAACCACGACCACAACAGGUGAGGGUUCGAGCGAAGAAACAGGAGGAGAUAGGAGGAGGAAAUACAGAGGUGUACGACAACGACCAUGGGGUAAAUGGGCAGCGGAAAUAAGAGAUCCACAUAAAGCCGCCAGAGUUUGGUUAGGAACAUUCGAUA